This 301-nucleotide ribosomal RNA is filed under the name uncultured bacterium. RNAcentral's name for it is "partial 16S ribosomal RNA". It matches the Rfam family "Bacterial small subunit ribosomal RNA", at positions 509 to 809 of the family's 1533-position model. The record is from RNAcentral.
CAGUCGCCGCGGGAACACGGAGGGUGCAAGCGUUAAUCGGAAUUACUGGGCGUAAAGCGUGCGUAGGCGGUUCGUUAAGUCUGUUGUGAAAGCCCCGGGCCCAACCUGGGAAUGGCAAUGGAUACUGGCGAGCUAGAGUGUGUCAGAGGAUGGUGGAAUUCCCGGUGUAGCGGUGAAAUGCGUAGAGAUCGGGAGGAACAUCAGUGGCGAAGGCGGCCAUCUGGGACAACACUGACGCUGAGGCACGAAAGCGUGGGGAGCAAACAGGAUUAGAUACCCCGGUAGUCCCUGUCUCUUAUAA